CCUACGGGGUGCAGCAGUGAGGAAUAUUGGUCAAUGGGCGUAAGCCUGAACCAGCCAAGUCGCGUGAGGGAUGAAGGUUCUAUGGAUCUUAAACCUCUUUUAUAAGGGAAUAAAGUGUGGGACGUGUCCUGUUUUGUCUGUACCUUAUGAAUAAGGAUCGGCUAACCCCGUGCCAGCAGCCGCGGUAAUACGGAGGAUCCGAGGGUUUUCCGGAUUUCUUGGGUUUAAGGGUUGCUUAGGCGGCCUUUUAAGUCAGCGGGGAAAGUCUGUGGCUCAACCAUAGAAUUGCCGUGAAAACUGGGAGGCUUGGGUAUGUUUGGGGCAGGGGGAAUGCGUGGUGUGGCGGUGAA
This 350-nucleotide ribosomal RNA is filed under the name uncultured bacterium. Its description in RNAcentral is "partial 16S ribosomal RNA". It matches the Rfam family "Bacterial small subunit ribosomal RNA", at positions 338 to 685 of the family's 1533-position model. The record is from RNAcentral.